GACGAACGCUGGCGGCGUGCUUAACACAUGCAAGUCGAACGGAAAGGCCCUGCUUUUGUGGGGUGCUCGAGUGGCGAACGGGUGAGUAACACGUGAGUAACCUGUCCCUGCCUUUGGGAUAUCUUCAGGCCACUGGGGCUCAUACCGGCUAGGAGCUCUUGCUGCAUGGUGGGGGCUGGAAAGUUUCGGCGGUUGGGCGUGGAAUAGCCGCCUAUCAGCUUGGUGGUGGGGUAGUGGCUUACCAAGGCUUUGACCGGUAGGCUGCCUGGGCGGGUGACCGGCCACAUUGGGACUGAGAUGCGGCCCAGACUCGUACGGGAGGCAGCGGUGGGGAAGAGUGCACAAUGGGCGGAAGCCUGAUGCAGCAACGCCGCGUGCGGGAAGACGGCCUUCGGGUUGUAAACCGCUGUCGCCUGUGACGAAGCGAGAGUGACGGUAAUGGGUAAAGAAGCACCGGCUAACUACGUG
RNAcentral lists this ribosomal RNA (468 nucleotides) under uncultured bacterium. Its description in RNAcentral is "partial 16S ribosomal RNA". It matches the Rfam family "Bacterial small subunit ribosomal RNA", at positions 28 to 507 of the family's 1533-position model. The record is from RNAcentral.